UUUUUGUUUUUUUUUUUUAUUAUUUUAGUCUAAGAUAUUUUAAUUUUUGAGGGUUUUUUGUUUUGUUUUUAAACACAGGCUUGUUUUUUUUUUAACUUUUUAUUGAUUCUUCACCCCAGUCCCACUCAUCUCCCCCUCUCCUCCCCUCCACCCUUGCAAACUCCCCAUCAAAAUAAAACAUAACCAAACAAAAUCAAAACAAAGCAUAGAAAACAUCUCAUCAGGGAAGAAGUGUCACAGUGUCCACAAUGUAUCACUCUGUCCACCAAUCUUCACUUUCAUAUGUCAUUGCAAUGAGUUCAUUGGUCUGGUUCAAGGCCUCUGGCUUCUGUGACACCAUCAGUACUGAAAACUCACUGGGACUCCUCUCAGAUCCUGUUAUUGCCCUGUGUCAUAAAGUGUAUUAUGGAGUUUUUUGCUAUACUGUGCUCCUGGUAGGUCGAGUGCUUCCAGCCACUUGCCCAGGAACUCUUUGAAAAUUAUUAUUUUUGAAAUGCCUUGGCUAACUCAAUGACUGAGCACUCCUAAACCUUCCCCUGCUGCCCCAGGCCCAAUCAGGGAAGUGGCCAGUUGCCACCCACCCAAUUCUCACAGGGCUGGUUGACUUUCUCUCCUGACGCUCCUGCAUCCCAUCCUUCUUCCUGGACUCAUGGGACAAUCUCUCUCUCUCCUCCCCUGUGUCCUAGCCUGAAGAACUCUUAAGCCCCCCCACCCCCAGUCUCCCCUUUGCCCAGUCAUUGGUCGAAGGCAUCUUAGCUGAUCGGAGUUGAUCAAAACCCAGCUGGGCACAGUGUUCUGACAUGCAGAUUCCUGAUUGAAUCAAAGCAGAACCAAUCUCCAACAAUGAAGAACUGCAGUUUUGGAUCAGAAGGACUGUCCCUUUCAGACAUUCCAACCAGUUGAAGAUGAUAUAAAUUUUGGGAUGAUCUAGCUCGGUUACUUUAUGCCUCUCUCUGCAGGAGGCAGGGUUAUCUCUUCCUCUCUCAUGCCCUCAGGUUGGCUCAUCUGCAUCCACACUUCCAGAGCCAGUUCCACUGUGCUGCUCAGUCAAGCAAGGCUCAAGGCCCACUCUCACAGGUGCUGAAGCUGGCAAGGGAUUGGGCCAGCUCUCCCAUUCUCACCACCUCAGGGCUGGAUUGCCUGGACCUUUGCUGUCAGUGCCAACUCCUCUGUGUUGCCCAGGUGAGGCACAAGGCCUGUUCUCAUUGCUCUCCCAACUACCACAGGUGUCAAGGGGUGAGGGGAAGAGCAUUGUCCCUGCACCCACAAGACCUCAUGGCAGAUGAGUGGUGGGGCCAGCUUUCCCUCACUCUUGCCCUCUGGGCUGGCUCACCUGUACCUCCUCCACCAGGGCUAGCUCUACAGUGCUGCCCAGGCAAGGUGCAGGGCCAGCUUACCCACUCUCAUGACCCAGCUGCUUUUUACAUUGGAACUUUGAUAUUAGUACUUUGAUGCUUUUGUAUUAAAUUUUGUGUAUCGUUGAAUUUACUUAAAUUACCAUAAGUAAAAGCAUACCUUUUACAACAUAGCUAGUUUACCCCUUAUCUUUCCCUCCUAUUGUUACUUUUUUUUAUUGCCAGUUUCUUUAUUCCUUUAUAGGAAAAAAUUCUGUUUAUUGAUAAUAUGAGACAGAAAAUACAAAGGCCCGUGGCCUUGAAAGGACGGCAGACAUAGAAAACCUAGAACCAUCUAUGAGGGAAAAAUGUUUUCAUCUUUUCUUGGAACUGAAUUCUGUGAUAUUCUAUGAAUUCUAAUAUAUUUACUCUAAGGAAAACAAACGUACUUGAAAUAGUUUUUGUAUUAACACCAUUGUUAUUUAAAAAAAACCCAACUUAUAACAGAAUUAAGUGGGAUGGGAAUGUAUUGAUUUGUAUAAAUUAGAGUUCCACCUGAAGCUCAAAUAAUGUUACCAACACUGUUUCUAUUCAUUAAAAGAGUUUCAAUCAACUUUACACCUUACCUACUUCUCUACUUUUUCCUACCAACUUCACAUGUUUUCUCUCUUUUUAUAAAAUACUCAUUGAGUCCAUUUAGUGCUGCAUGUAUAGGCAAGGGUGUGAGACCAUUCACAGAAGCAUGCCUGAAUCCCUAAAGAAAACUGAAUUCCCCUUAGCAACCAUUCAUUGCCAGUAUCUCUUCAGACAGGCGCAAGAAUUUAUGAGCCCGUCUCAAUCUGUGUGGGAUUUUGGCUGGCUGGAUCUUGUAGAGGUCUUCUGCGUGAGUCAUAGGCAUUAUAAGUUCAUGUUUACAAUGGUCCUAUCAUGUCUGGCAAAUACUGUUCCAUACAGAUGUGGCUCUUACAAUCUUUCCACUCCCUCUUCUGUGAACCUUGGCAGAAGGUGUGAUAUAGAUGUCCUAUAUAGAGCUGAGCCCUCCACAGUUCCUUAUCCUUUACAUAGUAACUGGUUGUGGGUUUCUGUAUUAAUUGCUAUCUACUCAAAAAAGAAGAUGUCCCUGCAGGCAUUAUAGGCUACCAAAAAACCCAGUGAGCUAUUACAGUGGACAUGACAGGCUGUUACUGUUGCUCUGAUACUCUUUAGAAGUUGAUGGUAAGACCCUAUUGCUGAAGACAGGACAUGCAGAAAACAAGCUAGUAUUAACUUGGAAGCUUUAUCCCCACUGGCUAGCUUUCGAAUGGUGCUGUUAGGUUUCUGUGCAUGCUACCAGGGGAGAAAAGUCUUGUGUGAGCUACAGCUGACCUGGAGGGUCAGUCACUAAGAACUAAUCUGGCAAGAUAGACACACUGAUAGAAUAGUGGAAUGGUGUUAUGGGAGCAACCAACAACUUUCUGCUUGGAUUUAAAACCUGAUCUUUAGGGAUCAGCAGUGCAUCCUUUUAGUGUUUGUAUAGGUCUUGUGUUUUCUACAAAAUUUGUUUGAAGUGGGCUUAAGUGCUUAGGGUUAGAAAUUUUAUAGAUAUUUGAUGAAGAACACUUACUACCCUAAGAGAAAAUAUAUUUCAUAAAGUCUUAAAAAUCCAAGUCUCAGGCUGACGAGAUGGCUCAGUGGUUAAGAGUGCCGACUGCUCUUCCGAAGGUCCCGAGUUCAAAUCCCAGCAACCACAUGGUGGCUCACAACCAUCCGUAACGAAAUCUGAUGCCCUCUUCUGGAAUAUCUGAGGACAGCUACAGUGUCCUUACAUAUAAUAAAUAAAUCUUUUUUAAAAAAAAAAUUCAAGUCUCCAAAUACAAUCAUUUUAUAGUCAUUAAAAACAGUAGACAAAAACUUGUUAAAUAUGUCUCAAUUAUAGCUUAUUGAGUAUAUUGAUUUAAACAAAUAAGAUCUCCACAUUUAUGGCAUUCUGUACCUAGCAAUUUUGCAUUGCCAGGUAAAAAGUUCUUCCAUUUAUGUUUCUUUGCAGAAGAUUGUUCUGACUGUAAGUUAAUGAUUUUUACAAUUUAUUGCUGUCUAAAAAUUUCCCUUGACUUCACAUUUUGUUCUGGAUGUCUUGGUUUCUUUCCUCCACCCACACAAGUGAAGCAAGAGUUGCGAAGUGACACUGAAUUUAAAAACCUUGGCUUUUUUCAAAACAAACUAACUUUUAAAAAUAUGACUGCUUUUUAUUGAAACCAAAAAAGGAAAAGCUUUGGCAAGUGUUCACUAAAUGUGUGAGUAACCUAAUUGAUUUUACUGGAAUGGAUAGGAAGCUUUGCUAUUUGUCCUUGUAGAUACUUGACUCAGUCGUUACAGAAGAGUGAGAGACAAUCUGUGAUGAGACGUUAGAGAUACAAAUGCAUCAGUUUCAUGCAAUUUUAUAGCUGUUUCUUCUCUUCAGAGAGGAAGGGCAAUAUGGUAAUUAGGAUCUUGUUAUUCUGUUAUGAAAAUAAUCAUGCAAACUUAUUUAAACUCAAUGUUUUGAUGAGUUUUAAUAUGUGAAAAUAUUGAGAGAUUCUUGCUGAGGAUUGUGAGGUGUGUGAAAUUUAAAUAAUAUUAAACAUAUUUUAAAAUUUAAAGUUUAAACAUAUCAUUAUAUAGUCUAAAUCUUUAACUCAGGUUACUAACUCAGGUUAAAAUAUAGUAUUUUAGGAAAGAAUUUGAGAGCCAAUAAGG
RNAcentral lists this long non-coding RNA (4049 nucleotides) under Mus musculus (house mouse). RNAcentral's name for it is "long non-coding RNA chr11:21105985-21110034". The record is from RNAcentral. Lineage: Eukaryota; Metazoa; Chordata; Mammalia; Rodentia; Muridae.